UACGAAGGGGGCUAGCGUUGUUCGGAAUUACUGGGCGUAAAGCGCGCGCAGGCGGCUAUCCAAGUCAGUGGUGAAAGCCCGGAGCUCAACUCCGGAACUGCCAAUUGAAAACUGUUUAGCUUGAGGACGAGAGAGGUGAGUGGAAUUCCCAGUGUAGAGGUGAAAUUCGUAGAUAUUGGGAAGAACACCGGUGGCGAAGGCGGCUCACUGGCUCGUAUCUGACGCUCAGGCGCGACAGCGUGGGGAUCAAACAGG
Molecule: ribosomal RNA, 255 nt
Filed under: uncultured bacterium
Lineage: Bacteria
Description: partial 16S ribosomal RNA
Rfam family: Bacterial small subunit ribosomal RNA
Source: RNAcentral